Lolium rigidum is the source of this 1228-nucleotide long non-coding RNA. RefSeq lists it as uncharacterized. NCBI's taxonomy places the organism in Eukaryota, Viridiplantae, Streptophyta, Magnoliopsida, Poales, Poaceae. The transcript has 2 exons. The record is from RefSeq and is a predicted model, not a curated record.
CGGGCCACCCUGGGCAGCUGCCCGGUCUCUGACGGUGCAUCUCCGUGGACUUCUAAUGGAAGAAGUUGGUUCAACUAAGAGAUUUUCGGGCAAACAGUGAUUAAUUUGGCCUUAGUUAGUUCCUACCCAGGCUGAAAGAAUGGGUUAGCUCCACCACUGUUUUGAUGGUUGUGGUUAAAAUCAGACAGUUUAGAGUUCAUGGUCGGAAAGUUGGUCAUAUGUAAGGCAAAACAGAAAAACAGGGAAAUUGAUCUCCAUGGGGUAAUUAUGUUUCAGUGCACUUGACAUGUCCAUCAGGGGCAGUAUUUCUGUUGUUCACUUUGAACACUUGAUAGAUAUUUGAAGGUCCUGACAUAUCACAAUGACUUUGCUCUGUCUGGCCAAAUCAUAUUUGGUACUAAUCCCAAGAAAGUUGAUCCGCAUAAUCACUCAGAAAUUAUAAUUUCAUCUUGCAGUGCGGACAGCAUGGUGCCUGCCAAAAAUGAUUUGCAUGAGUAAUCAUGCUUUAUAUGUAUUACAACUUCUUAUAUAUUAGAAAAAUACAUCGUACAUCAAAAACAGUUUCUUAUGUCCAUGCAUGUGGUGACUGUUAUUUACACAUACAUGCAUCCUUGAAACAGUUGGUUCUUUUAGGUCAUAAUGUUCUUUUGAGCUAGCUAACAAUCUUUAUCCUAUUUUUUCCUUGCAGCAAGUACCUGAAAAUGCAGUUUUUGUGAUGGGAGAUAACCGAAAUAAUAGUUAUGAUUCCCAUGUGUGGGGCCCUCUUCCCGCAAAAAAUAUAUUGGGAAGAUCUAUCUUUCGGUACUGGCCUCCUGGCCGAAUAGGGAGUACUACCAUUGAUUGCGGUGGCCCCGAAACAAAACCAGAUUCACUCAUUGAUGUCAAGUUGACAAAGUAGAAGUUUCAAUCAAUUAACGCCGGUGCGAAGUUCAAACUUCACACCAGCACCAGUUUUAGAUAGUAACUAUUUCUAUUCCCUGGAAAUUGAUAGAGGAAUGCGUUUGGCAGCGGGUCUUCUAGAAAUCAGAAAGGAGGGGAACAGGCCUGUUCCUCAUGAGAUUAGUAAGGAUGGUCGGUAGCACAGAAACCAUUUUGCUCCAAGGUUUCUGCUUGCUUUUGCCCCUUGUAUGUAUGUAUGUACAUUAAGGAAAACUGUUGUUUAUACUCUGGAUCAUAAUUGGAAGGUUCUUAAUUUUGAUCCUAUUAAUGCAGAAAAAUGUUUACACUC